Molecule: ribosomal RNA, 497 nt
Filed under: uncultured bacterium
Lineage: Bacteria
Description: partial 16S ribosomal RNA
Rfam family: Bacterial small subunit ribosomal RNA
Source: RNAcentral
GAUGAACGCUGGCGGCGUGCCUAAUACAUGCAAAUCGAGCGAACGGACGAGAAGCUUGCUUCUCUGAUGUUAGCGGCGGACGGGUGAGUAACACGUGGAUAACCUACCUAUAAGACUGGGAUAACCUCGGGAAACCGGAGCUAAUACCGGAUGAUAUUUUGAACCGCAUGGUUCAAAAGUGAAAGACGGUCUUGCUGUCACUUAUAGAUGGAUCCGCGCUGCAUUAGCUAGUUGGUAAGGUAACGGCUUACCAAGGCAACGAUGCAUAGCCGACCUGAGAGGGUGAUCGGCCACACUGGAACUGAGACACGGUCCAGACUCCUACGGGAGGCAGCAGUAGGGAAUCUUCCGCAAUGGGCGAAAGCCUGACGGAGCAACGCCGCGUGAGUGAUGAAGGUCUUCGGAUCGUAAAACUCUGUUAUUAGGGAAGAACAUAUGUGUAAGUAACUGUGCACAUCUUGACGGUACCUAAUCAGAAAGCCACGGCUAACUACGUG